UACGAAGGGGGCUAGCGUUGCUCGGAAUCACUGGGCGUAAAGCGCACGUAGGCGGGUUGUUAAGUCGGGGGUGAAAUCCUGGAGCUCAACUCCAGAACUGCCUUCGAUACUGGCGACCUCGAGUCCGGGAGAGGUGAGUGGAACUCCGAGUGUAGAGGUGAAAUUCGUAGAUAUUCGGAAGAACACCAGUGGCGAAGGCGGCUCACUGGCCCGGUACUGACGCUGAGGUGCGAAAGCGUGGGGAGCAAACAGG
Molecule: ribosomal RNA, 253 nt
Filed under: uncultured bacterium
Lineage: Bacteria
Description: partial 16S ribosomal RNA
Rfam family: Bacterial small subunit ribosomal RNA
Source: RNAcentral